RNAcentral lists this ribosomal RNA (370 nucleotides) under uncultured eukaryote. RNAcentral describes it as "SSU rRNA". It matches the Rfam family "Eukaryotic small subunit ribosomal RNA", at positions 587 to 972 of the family's 1831-position model. The record is from RNAcentral.
AGCUCCAAUAGCGUAUACUAAUGUUGUUGCAGUUAAAAAGCUCGUAGUCGGAUUUCAGCUUUGCUCAGUUUUUCCACUUUGGAUCUGCUGGGAAGGGCUUCUUUGACGGAAGUAUUCCUGACAUUCAUUUGUUGGGUUUUUCAACCGUCUCUUUUACUUUGAGAAAAUUAGAGUGUUCAAAGCAGGCAUUGCCUGAAUAUUACUCUUGGAAUAAUAAUAGAUGACUCUGGUGCUAGUUUGUUGGUGCACUGGUGCCGGAGUAAUGAUUAAUAGCGACGGUUGGGGUCAUUCGUACUGCAAAGCGAGAGGUGAAAUUCUUGGACCUUUGUAUGACGAACAACUGCGAAAGCAUUUGACUAGGACGUUCGCG